RNAcentral lists this long non-coding RNA (1214 nucleotides) under Cyanistes caeruleus (blue tit). RNAcentral describes it as "lncRNA (ENSCCEG00000021219.1)". Lineage: Eukaryota; Metazoa; Chordata; Aves; Passeriformes; Paridae. The record is from RNAcentral.
GCAUAAACAGGGAAGGUAAGAAAUCCCAUCUUUUCAGCAGUCAGACAGAUUUCUCAAGUGGCUUUUUUAAAUAGGUCAUGUGCCUCAUUCAGCAGCUCCAGCUGAUGCUUCCAAAAGAAACCCAUUAACAGAUUCCCCUAUGUGUUCCUUAUUGUUUGCACAGCUUUAAUGGCCCCAUCUGGCAUCAUCUUAAAGCCUCCUGGUCAGAAGCAAAGAGCAGCUUCUGGUUACAGCAGCCUGAGAAGUUGUACUUUACAGCCCCUUUCUCUGCUCACAAGAUCUAACUUUGAGGAUAAAUAAAUGUUUGGAACCAGGCAAGGGUGGGAAGGGACCUCCUGCAACCUGAGUACACCACAGUGGAGAACUUUGGUUAUUUUCCUCUUCCCUCACACUAUGGCAGUACCUGCACACCAGGUGCCUCCUCAUCCUUUGUAGUAACAAAACAGUUUGUGGUACUUCUGAGAGAUUCAUUCCAUGGAAAGAGAAGUGGGAACCAAAGCAUAUCUCCAGUGAUGAGCAAUUAAGGAGGAAGCCUCUGGUACCCCAGACCCUCACUGGCUGAGCAGAUUCCAGUACAGAGGUAUUACACUGCCUCUCAGAGAAGCCUGAACAUCUGUCACCCAGUUCAUUUUAUUGCCAAAGGCUGCUCAGGUGUGAUGCAAUGAUUCUUCUAUGACAGAAGUGUUUGGGUUACCCUUGGCAUCUCCCAGCCAAUGCAGUAAAGAUUAGCAGGACAGGCUGCAGCACACCUGAGGGCAGCAGAGCCCCUGAGUGGCACCUGCUGGUUUGCUGUGGUGACCAGAUAUGACUGACUGAUGGAUGGUUUUAUCUGACUGCUCGGACAUUCUGACAUGGGGCACGUCUCUCCACUUGGGAGGUCUCAGAAUGGCUCUGGGCUUCCAGAUAAACACAGUUUAUCAAUAACAGAUGCUGUUUGGAUACUCUUCAGAAGGUCAUAUCCUCUCCAGGCUUGGCUUAGCUUAUGCUGUUACGGGAGCUCAGCACACCUUAUUGAGAAACCGUCCAUCUUCCAUUCCUGGCAAUGUCCCUGUUACAGUGUCCUUCGGCCUAGAUGACUUGGUGGGUAAGACGAGUGCGGCAACGACAGGAGAGGGUCUUGCCCUUUUCUUUAAGAAAAAAAAAAAAAAAAGAAAACAAAACAACCACAAAAACUUGAAAGUGUUCCAUGCCGCCAGAUACUCCCUUUCUCCAUC